This 253-nucleotide ribosomal RNA is filed under the name uncultured bacterium. Its description in RNAcentral is "partial 16S ribosomal RNA". It matches the Rfam family "Bacterial small subunit ribosomal RNA", at positions 524 to 776 of the family's 1533-position model. The record is from RNAcentral.
UACGGAGGGAGCUAGCGUUGUUCGGAAUUACUGGGCGUAAAGCGUACGUAGGCGGCUUUGUAAGUCAGAGGUGAAAGCCUGGAGCUCAACUCCAGAACUGCCUUUGAGACUGCAUCGCUUGAAUCCGGGAGAGGUGAGUGGAAUUCCGAGUGUAGAGGUGAAAUUCUUAGAUAUUCGGAAGAACACCUGUGGCGAAGGCGGCUCACUGGACCGGUAUUGACGCUGAGGUGCGAAAGCGUGGGGAUCAAACAGG